AAGUCGUAACAAGGUUUCCGUAGGUGAACCUGCGGAAGGAUCAUUAACAGUGCUCGUAGUGCUCUUGCGCAAGCAAAUCACUACAACACGUACCAUCAUGUGUGAAUCGUUUUGACCAUCUAAUGUGCGUUUGUGAGGACCAGGGCGUCACUCAGGUACAUGCUCAUUGUUGCGAAAUGAUCAUGCUCCUGUUUGGAACUACUACCUCUCGAACGCACGUUCAUUUUACCCCACCUGUCCUUUUGAACACUGAAUAGUAAAGCUUAGUUGAAAAACUUGCAAAACUUUUAGCAAUGGAUCUCUAGGCUCUU
RNAcentral lists this unclassified non-coding RNA (311 nucleotides) under fungal sp. RNAcentral's name for it is "partial internal transcribed spacer region". The stretch from base 1 to 46 matches the Rfam family "Eukaryotic small subunit ribosomal RNA", at positions 1786 to 1831 of the family's 1831-position model. Lineage: Eukaryota; Fungi. The record is from RNAcentral.